RNAcentral lists this ribosomal RNA (752 nucleotides) under uncultured bacterium. RNAcentral describes it as "bacterial SSU rRNA". It matches the Rfam family "Bacterial small subunit ribosomal RNA", at positions 577 to 1326 of the family's 1533-position model. The record is from RNAcentral.
GGUUUGUCGCGUCUGCCGUGAAAGUCCGGGGCUUAACCCCGGAUCUGCGGUGGGUACGGGCAGACUAGAGUGCAGUAGGGGAGACUGGAAUUCCUGGUGUAGCGGUGAAAUGCGCAGAUAUCAGGAGGAACACCGAUGGCGAAGGCAGGUCUCUGGGCUGUAACUGACGCUGAGGAGCGAAAGCAUGGGGAGCGAACAGGAUUAGAUACCCUGGUAGUCCAUGCCGUAAACGUUGGGCACUAGGUGUGGGGGACAUUCCACGUUUUCCGCGCCGUAGCUAACGCAUUAAGUGCCCCGCCUGGGGAGUACGGCCGCAAGGCUAAAACUCAAAGGAAUUGACGGGGGCCCGCACAAGCGGCGGAGCAUGCGGAUUAAUUCGAUGCAACGCGAAGAACCUUACCAAGGCUUGACAUGUUCCUGACCGCCGUAGAGAUACGGUUUCCCCUUUGGGGCAGGUUCACAGGUGGUGCAUGGUUGUCGUCAGCUCGUGUCGUGAGAUGUUGGGUUAAGUCCCGCAACGAGCGCAACCCUCGUUCCAUGUUGCCAGCACGUAGUGGUGGGGACUCAUGGGAGACUGCCGGGGUCAACUCGGAGGAAGGUGGGGACGACGUCAAAUCAUCAUGCCCCUUAUGUCUUGGGCUUCACGCAUGCUACAAUGGCCGGUACAAUGGGUUGCGAUACUGUGAGGUGGAGCUAAUCCCAAAAAGCCGGUCUCAGUUCGGAUUGGGGUCUGCAACUCGACCCCAUGAAGU